CUGCCAGAUGGGGGGGGANAACUACUGGAAACGGUAUCUAAUACCGCAUAACGUCGCAAGACCAAAGUGGGGGACCUUCGGGCCUCACACCCUCAGAUGUGCCCAGAUGGGAUUAUCUAGUAUGUGGGGUAACGGCUCACCUAGGCGACGAUCCCUAUCUGGUCUGAGAGGAUGACCAGCCACACUGGAACUGANACACGGUCCAGACUCCUACGGGAGGCAGCAGUGGGGAAUAUUGCACAAUGGGCGCAAGCCUGAUGCACCCAUGCCGCGUGUAUGAAGAAGGCCUUCGGGUUGUAAAGUACUUUCACUCAAGAAGAAGGGUGUACUCUUAAUACGGCUAUGCUUUGACUUUACUGACAAAAGAAGCACCGGCUAACUCCGUGCCAGCACCCGCGGUAAUACAGAGGGUGCAAGCUUUAAUCAAAAUUACUGGGCGUAAAGCGCACGCACGCGGUCUGUCAAGUCAGAUGUGAAAUCCCCGGGCUCCACCCGGGAACUGCAUUCGAAACUGGCGGGCUAGACUCUUGUAGAGGGGGGUANAAUUCCGNGUGUAGCGGUGAUAUGCAUAGAGAUCUAG
This 580-nucleotide ribosomal RNA is filed under the name Tatumella sp. RNAcentral's name for it is "bacterial SSU rRNA". It matches the Rfam family "Bacterial small subunit ribosomal RNA", at positions 126 to 701 of the family's 1533-position model. Lineage: Bacteria; Pseudomonadati; Pseudomonadota; Gammaproteobacteria; Enterobacterales; Erwiniaceae. The record is from RNAcentral.